UACGUAGGUGGCAAGCGUUGUCCGGAUUUACUGGGCGUAAAGGGCGUGCAGGCGGUUCGUUAAGUUCAGGGUGAAAGCUCCCGGCUCAACUGGGAGAGGUCCUUGGAUACUGGCGGACUUGAGGGGAGUAGAGGAGAGUGGAAUUCCCGGUGUAGUGGUGAUAUGCGUAGAUAUCGGGAGGAACACCGGUGGCGAAGGCGGCUCUCUGGGCUCUACCUGACGCUGAGACGCGAAAGCGUGGGGAGCGAACCGG
This 253-nucleotide ribosomal RNA is filed under the name uncultured bacterium. RNAcentral describes it as "partial 16S ribosomal RNA". It matches the Rfam family "Bacterial small subunit ribosomal RNA", at positions 524 to 776 of the family's 1533-position model. The record is from RNAcentral.